GAUGAACGCUGGCGGCGUGCCUAAUACAUGCAAGUCGAGCGAACAGACGAGGAGCUUGCUCCUCUGACGUUAGCGGCGGACGGGUGAGUAACACGUGGAUAACCUACCUAUAAGACUGGGAUAACUUCGGGAAACCGGAGCUAAUACCGGAUAAUAUAUUGAACCGCAUGGUUCAAUAGUGAAAGACGGUUUUGCUGUCACUUAUAGAUGGAUCCGCGCCGCAAUAGCUAGUUGGUAAGGUAACGGCUUACCAAGGCAACGAUGCGUAGCCGACCUGAGAGGGUGAUCGGCCACACUGGAACUGAAACACGGUCCAGACUCCUACGGGAGGCAGCAGUAGGGAAUCUUCCGCAAUGGGCGAAAGCCUGACGGAGCAACGCCGCGUGAGUGAUGAAGGUCUUCGGAUCGUAAAACUCUGUUAUUAGGGAAGAACAAAUGUGUAAGUAACUAUGCACGUCUUGACGGUACCUAAUCAGAAAGCCACGGCUAACUACGUG
Molecule: ribosomal RNA, 497 nt
Filed under: uncultured bacterium
Lineage: Bacteria
Description: partial 16S ribosomal RNA
Rfam family: Bacterial small subunit ribosomal RNA
Source: RNAcentral